RNAcentral lists this ribosomal RNA (1486 nucleotides) under Bacillus sp. MSP9.3. RNAcentral's name for it is "bacterial SSU rRNA". It matches the Rfam family "Bacterial small subunit ribosomal RNA". The record is from RNAcentral. Lineage: Bacteria; Bacillati; Bacillota; Bacilli; Caryophanales; Bacillaceae.
UCUGAGUUUGAUCCUGGCUCAGGACGAACGCUGGCGGCGUGCCUAAUACAUGCAAGUCGAGCGGACAGAAGGGAGCUUGCUCCCGGAUGUUAGCGGCGGACGGGUGAGUAACACGUGGGUAACCUGCCUGUAAGACUGGGAUAACUCCGGGAAACCGGAGCUAAUACCGGAUAGUUCCUUGAACCGCAUGGUUCAAGGAUGAAAGACGGUUUCGGCUGUCACUUACAGAUGGACCCGCGGCGCAUUAGCUAGUUGGUGGGGUAAUGGCUCACCAAGGCAACGAUGCGUAGCCGACCUGAGAGGGUGAUCGGCCACACUGGGACUGAGACACGGCCCAGACUCCUACGGGAGGCAGCAGUAGGGAAUCUUCCGCAAUGGACGAAAGUCUGACGGAGCAACGCCGCGUGAGUGAUGAAGGUUUUCGGAUCGUAAAGCUCUGUUGUUAGGGAAGAACAAGUGCCAGAGGAAUAUGCUGGCACCUUGACGGUACCUAACCAGAAAGCCACGGCUAACUACGUGCCAGCAGCCGCGGUAAUACGUAGGUGGCUAGCGUUGUCCGGAAUUAUUGGGCGUAAAGCGCGCGCAGGCGGUUUCUUAAGUCUGAUGUGAAAGCCCCCGGCUCAACCGGGGAGGGUCAUUGGAAACUGGGGAACUUGAGUGCAGAAGAGGAGAGUGGAAUUCCACGUGUAGCGGUGAAAUGCGUAGAGAUGUGGAGGAACACCAGUGGCGAAGGCGGCUCUCUGGUCUGUAACUGACGCUGAGGCGCGAAAGCGUGGGGAGCGAACAGGAUUAGAUACCCUGGUAGUCCACGCCGUAAACGAUGAGUGCUAGGUGUUAGGGGGUUUCCGCCCCUUAGUGCUGAAGUUAACGCAUUAAGCACUCCGCCUGGGGAGUACGGCCGCAAGGCUGAAACUCAAAAGAAUUGACGGGGGCCCGCACAAGCGGUGGAGCAUGUGGUUUAAUUUGAAGCAACGCGAAGAACCUUACCAGGUCUUGACAUCCUCUGACCCCUCUAGAGAUAGAGGUUUCCCUUCGGGGACAGAGUGACAGGUGGUGCAUGGUUGUCGUCAGCUCGUGUCGUGAGAUGUUGGGUUAAGUCCCGCAACGAGCGCAACCCUUGACCUUAGUUGCCAGCAUUCAGUUGGGCACUCUAGGGUGACUGCCGGUGACAAACCGGAGGAAGGUGGGGAUGACGUCAAAUCAUCAUGCCCCUUAUGACCUGGGCUACACACGUGCUACAAUGGAUGGUACAAAGGGAAGCGAAACCGCGAGGUGAAGCAAAUCCCAUAAAACCAUUCUCAGUUCGGAUUGCAGGCUGCAACUCGCCUGCAUGAAGCCGGAAUCGCUAGUAAUCGCGGAUCAGCAUGCCGCGGUGAAUACGUUCCCGGGCCUUGUACACACCGCCCGUCACACCACGAGAGUUGGCAACACCCGAAGUCGGUGAGGUAACCUUUUUGGAGCCAGCCGCCGAAGGUGGGGCCAAUGA